Long non-coding RNA from Acanthopagrus latus (yellowfin seabream), 487 nucleotides. RefSeq lists it as uncharacterized. NCBI's taxonomy places the organism in Eukaryota, Metazoa, Chordata, Actinopteri, Spariformes, Sparidae. The transcript has 4 exons. The record is from RefSeq and is a predicted model, not a curated record.
UCAGAUGCAAUGAGACAUCACAUUUCAGCCCUGCAUAUAUAGAUGGGUGAUGUGUAUCAGUCUAACAGUAGACACAGACUUUUACAUUAACUGUAAACGUCUCACUGCUCUGUUUGAAAACAGCCUUUUGUCUCUGACCCUGAAAGGAUGAAGUGCAUUGUGGUCUUUCUCAUGUUGUCCGUGGUCAUUCUCAUGGCAGAACCUGCUGAUGGUUCAGAGAAAUUCAUCAUGCCUGGUUGCGAGAAGUAUUACGAGGAACUCUUUAGGCGCCAAGAUGAGCUGGAGCAGCAGCAGGCUGGGGAGCAGUGGCUUGUAAAACGUGCUUGCUUCCUUAGACUUGGCUGAAACUACGUUUUGGAUGAAAUAAGAUGCUUCUUGCGUGACAACCACUUCUUGAUGAUACAAAUGUCUUGGUUUAAUGCAUUGCAGAAUUUUGAUCAAAUUUGGUGGAUGGUCAUUUGUUCAGAAUAAAUAAGCAUUGCAACAA